UGAAAUCAGUGUCUACCCCACAUAUACAUGCAAGUAUCCGCACUCCUGUGAGAACGCCCUUAAACACCUUUUAGGAACAAGGAGCUGGUAUCAGGCUCAACAAUUAGCCCAAAACACCUAGUCACGCCACACCCACAAGGGUCUUCAGCAGUAAUUAACAUUGAAAAUAAGCGCCAGCUUGAUUCAGUCUCGGUAGAAAGGGCAGGCAAAUUUGGUGCCAGCCGCCGCGGUUACACCAUUUGGCCCAAAUUGAUUGCUUUCGGCGUAAAGAGUGAUUUAAGAAACACACCAAUGUAGUUUUACCCCGCUUCAGUUGUAAUAAGCUUAUGCCUGGGAAACCCAAAAACGAAAGUUACUACACCCAAAACAACU
RNAcentral lists this ribosomal RNA (372 nucleotides) under Boana ornatissima (ornate treefrog). Its description in RNAcentral is "Hypsiboas ornatissimus (ornate treefrog) partial 12S ribosomal RNA". Lineage: Eukaryota; Metazoa; Chordata; Amphibia; Anura; Hylidae. The record is from RNAcentral.